CUCAGACAGUCUGUUUAAACGGACAGAAGUCCUAGCAGGUGACUGUCAUUGCUGGUGGAGUUAUUGGCUUUCUCUUUGCAAUUUUUCUUAUCCUGCUGUUGGUGUAUCGCAUGAGAAAGAAGGAUGAAGGAAGCUAUGACCUUGGAGAACGCAAACCAUCCAGUGCUGCUUAUCAGAAGGCACCUACUAAGGAGUUUUAUGCGUAAAACUCCAACUUAGUGUCUCUAUUUAUGAGAUCACUGAACUUUUCAAAAUAAAGCUUUUGCAUAGAAUAAUGAAGAUCUUUGUUUUUUGUUUUCAUUAAAGAGCCAUUCUGGCACUUUAAUGAUAAAAUCCCAUUGUAUUUAAAACAUUUCAUGUAUUUCUUUAGAACAACAUAAAAUUAAAAUUUAACAUCUGCAGUGUUCUGUGAAUAGCAGUGGCAAAAUAUUAUGUUAUGAAAACCCUCGAUGUUCAUGGAAUUGGUUUAAACUUUUAUGCGCAAAUACAAAAUGAUUGUCUUUUUCCUAUGACUCAAAGAUGAAAGCUGUUUCAUUUGUGUCAGCAUGUCUCAGAUUGACCUUACCAAGUUGGUCUUACUUUGUUAAUUUAUCUGUUGUCCCCUUCCUCUCCUCUGCCCUCCCUUCUUGUGCCCUUAAAACCAAACCCUAUGCCUUUUGUAGCUGUCAUGGUGCAAUUUGUCUUUGGAAAAUUCAGAUAAUGGUAAUUUAGUGUAUAUGUGAUUUUCAAAUAUGUAAACUUUAACUUCCACUUUGUAUAAAUUUUUAAGUGUCAGACUAUCCAUUUUACACUUGCUUUAUUUUUCAUUACCUGUAGCUUUGGGCAGAUUUGCAACAGCAAAUUAAUGUGUAAAAUUGGAUUAUUACUACAAAACCGUUUAGUCAUAUCUAUCUAAUCAGAUCUUCUUUUGGGAGGAUUUGAUGUAAGUUACUGACAAGCCUCAGCAAACCCAAAGAUGUUAACAGUAUUUUAAGAAGUUGCUGCAGAUUCCUUUGGCCACUGUAUUUGUUAAUUUCUUGCAAUUUGAAGGUACGAGUAGAGGUUUAAAGAAAAAUCAGUUUUUGUUCUUAAAAAUGCAUUUAAGUUGUAAACGUCUUUUUAAGCCUUUGAAGUGCCUCUGAUUCUAUGUAACUUGUU
RNAcentral lists this long non-coding RNA (1137 nucleotides) under Homo sapiens (human). RNAcentral describes it as "HSALNT0140746". The record is from RNAcentral. Lineage: Eukaryota; Metazoa; Chordata; Mammalia; Primates; Hominidae.